Long non-coding RNA from Astatotilapia calliptera (eastern happy), 5890 nucleotides. Lineage: Eukaryota; Metazoa; Chordata; Actinopteri; Cichliformes; Cichlidae. The record is from Ensembl.
UGUUUCAUCUCUCAUCCAAGAAGCUUCUUCAGUUCUAGGUUCAAAUGGCGGAGAGUCCCAGACUUAAGCCCGAUGGGAGAACAUCCCAGUGUACCUCAGACCCAGCAACACACCCAGAAAAAAACUGGUUCUUCCCAAAGACAGAACUCCUAAUCACAAACUUAAAAUCCUAGUGUAUACUUUAAUGUAAUGAGGAAUGCUCAGACCUCUAAAUUGGAGAGACCAAACAGCCACUUCAUAAACGCAUGGCACAAUGUAACGCAGUAAAGGAUCAGGGUGCCUGACUGCAGCUUGAUAAUAAGCUAGUCAGAAGUGCUUCGACUACGGAGCCUGAGUGUGCGGAUAAAAUACAAACAACAGAAGUAGAGCUCAAAUAUACAUGUAUUAUGUAUCUUAUGGUGAGAUGAAAUUUAUAAACAGAUAAACAAAAGAAAAAUAUAUAUACAUUGUAAAUAUCAACACUUCACCGAGUUCUUUUGAUUCCUCAGAGGCAUCCGAUGGAAGACAAAACACUGCUCAGUAGAACAUUCAAAACUUUAUUACUUCUAGAAGGGAGAUGCGUCCUGCAUGACACGUUGCCGCAGAUCUCAAAUUGGUGGUGUGCCCCUGACAGUUUUAUUACAGAAGCUCUCUCAUUCUAGUCUAAACAACAGUGUCUCAGUAACUUUCCACUAGAGACAGUCCCCUCUUGUCUAAUUUUCCCAGGCAAGCGUGAGCAAGAGCCUGCAGCUUUCUACUCCCCAAGGACACAUGGUCUAAUGCCUUUAUUUUUCAGGGCUGUGUCGACUUAAUACUACACUAUAUAACUUCAUAACACUUAUUAAUAAAUAAGCAUAGCAUUGUUGAGACACUGAAAAAUUAUUUAUUCCCAACAGCAUAUAUAUUAUAAAAAAACACAAUGAUAGUGAUAAUAAUAACACUAAUAAUACUAAUAAUAAUAAUAAUAAUAAUAAUAAUAAUAAUACAAAGCAACUAAUUUAGUCCCAAGAGGAAGUUGAACAAGAUUUAGUCAGUUCAGUUUAGUUGACCUGCAAUAAGCCGUGUUUCCAAACAGGUAGGAAGUUGAAGUCCAUUUAUCAGUUUAUAUAGAUUUAUCAGUCCUACCGCAAUACAGCGGUGGUCAGGUGGCUCGCCAUCCUGCGCUGAUCAGGGGUUUGAUAAUGGGGAAAAAACUCUGACUUAAUCAAGGUUAAAAACAUAAAUUAGCAUUCACAGUUAAAUUGGAACAGCGUUCUACUGCCAUUACAAUUGAAAAAUAAAUCCAUAAAUAGAAAAGUCAAAUAAUUAAUGUCAUAUUUUAUAUAACAGCCAAUAAACCAAUAACCAAAGACAUAACAUUUGAUUCUUAUAAUGAAUUUCAUUCAAAAAUAAUGUUAUAGAAAACCAUUUGCAUGGGUCCCAUCAAAGUAAAGUAAUUUAGCAAUAAGAGUAAUAAACAUUAUCCAAGGUUAAUCAAAUAUUUCCAACACACAUUUAAUUAUAUGUGUUGUGCAACACGUUCAAUAAUCUAAAAGGAAUUCAAAUCAAUUCAGAAGUCCCAAAAGCAUGGCAUUCACUUAGAAAAGUAACAAAAAACUUCCAAAAUGGACAAAACUACAAAAAUCAGAUCUCUCACUCAACUCUUCAAACAGUAAUUUAACAUUCAGCCAUAGUGAAAAACUGUCUGUCACCAACUGUCUGCCAUCUAUAAUUCAGUUUUGAGAUCCUUUCCCAGACACCUUAACACCUACGCACAUCCUGGGCCUUUUGACCUCUCAUAAUAGGACUAGGGUCUUAUGGGGCUAGAUUUCACAAUGAACUCACCUGAAACCUUGGCUGAUUGUGACCUACACCUGUUUUUACACCUUAGCUAUUGUGAUUAGGUAGAGGAUCAUUAGGGGGUCCAUGUCCCUUUUGGGGGGACACUCUUCUCGAUUGAGAGGUGAAAUGUCUUCAAGCAACUUAAAGAAGUUCAGACGCUCAUUAGACUUGAUGUUUGUUUCUAAAGAUGUUGUUGAUGAGACUUUGUAGAAAGCAGCUGGUCUGAGUGAUGUGAUCAGAGUGCAGUAGAUAAUGUCUGACAGCAGUUUGAAGAGGAAAUGGAUUCUGUUCUGUUCUUCACUCAUCACCUACCUGACAGCUGACACCUCACACCUGUUUCUCACCUGCAGGUCAGACAGGAGGAGACACAGAGGAUGGAGUCAUUAGAUAUAAAGUGAUAUAUUUUGUUUUGUUUCUUGUACCAGCUCUUGUGGCUGUUAUUUUGAUCUGUAAAAAAAAGAACAAAAAUAAUCCCCCACUUCCUACUCCUCUGACUGAUGAAGUAGGAAAUGAAGUUUACUGAACAAUCUCUGCGUUGAUAUUAGGGCUGCCACGAUUACGUCGACUAUCAAAAUCAUUGACAACUAAUUAAAUAGUCGACGCGUCGUUUGAAGCUUCGUAAGAUCCCAAAAGACGCAGGAAUAAGUAGUAGGAUUUAAGAGGGUAAUAACGGACUGAAACAGAAGAUGGCAGCACUGCAUGUACAAGGAUGCCAGCUGCCGUUAAACCCCGAAGAAGAAGAAGCUGUGUCCCAGAAUUCAUAGUGCGGCCCUGCUCAGUUUACAACAAUGGCGGCAGCUAGUUAGUUUUAAUAUUACUCUUAUUAUUCUUUCUGGGUCACAAAAUAAAUGUUUAACAUAUUUUCAGGCGAGAAUGUAGCUGUGUAAACCUCAAAUAUCUGCUCAGUUUAUCAAGACACCACAUAUUUUCAAAAGCACCCCGACGUCUUCUGUUACCCACCAGCUCGAUAGCUGGUGUUUGGGGUUCAAGGCUCACCAGAGCCGGUGAGAACACCGGACUCCCGACAAAUCAUUUUCAAACCUACCGCGGUCUUUCGCUACUCAGGUUAAUUUAUAAUUAAUCUUUACUAUAUUAUUAGACCAUUAUUUAUCCAUGUAAAAAUCUCAUUAAGAUUCAAAUCACAUUUCCUAGAGAGACCUAGCAAGAUGACAACAAAAGUAAAAACACAUACAGCAUAUAAUAACAUAACAAUAUCUAUAUCAAAUUGAUAUUACUAAAAUUUUUAAAUAGUGUUAUGUAAAAUCAAAAGUAUCUCUAAAACAUCAAACAUCGAUCAAACUCUGAUUCGAUGUACAAGGAUCUUUGAUAUAUCAAAUCUUGUGAUUUGACAUCAAUAGGGCAGCAUGGUGGCAUAGUGGUUAGCACUGUUGCCGCACAGCAAGAAAGUCCUGAGUUCAAUUCCACCAUCAGACCGGGGUCUUUCUGUGUGGAGUUUGCGUGGGUUCCCUCCAGGUACUCCGGCUUCCUCCCACCGUCCAAAGACAUGCAGCUUGUGGGGAUAGGUUAAUUGGAUAAUCCAAAUUGCCACUAGGUGUGAAUGGGAGUGUGAAUGGUUGUCUGUCCCUGUGUUUUAGCCCUGCGACAGAGUGGCGACCUGUCCACGGUGUACCCUGCCUCUCGCCCUAUGACAGCUGGGAUAGGCUCCAGCGCCCCCCGCGACCCUGAAAAGCAUAAGCGGAAGCGAAUGGAUGGAUGGAGAUCACUUGUCAUCGAUCAAACUCUGAUUCGAUGUACAAGUAUCUUUGAUAUAUCAAAUCUUGUGAUUUGACAUCAAUAGAUCACUUGUCAUCAAUCAAACUCUGAUUCGAUAUCCAAGUAUCUUUGAUAUAUCAAAUCUUGUGAUUUGACAUCAAUAGAUCACUUGACAUCGAUUACACUCUGAUUCGAUGUACAAGGAUUUUUGAUAUAUCAAAUCUUGUGAUUUGACAUCAAUAGAUCACUUGACAUCGAUCAAACUCUGAUUCGAGUACGAGGCAGCAGAGAGGACCUUGUAUGGGUUUACUACCACAUUCUAAAGGUCCUGGCAUUCUACUGAAGUAGGGAAGGCGUCAUUAGAUGAUGACUCCUAGUGAUGGUAAGAUGAAGCCUCGUGAGGAACUGAAGGUUUCCAUCCAACUGGUCGACUCAUGGUUCAAAGCAUUGUGAUGAUUCAUUUGCUCUACUGCGCCAUCAAGUGGACGAUUCAAGUGAAACAGGCUCUUUGAUUGUAAUGAUGUGAUGUGUAAACCUCUAAACUGAAUAAAUAAAUUGUUUUCAUGGUUAUUUAUUACGAAUAUUGUCUCAGCAUGUCUGAUACAAAAGAGAAAGUGGAAACUAUCAGGACAGAGCUUUGGUAUGAUUGUGUAACUGUGUAAUCAUGCUUAUGUACAUCUGGAUAAUCACACAAACUGUGUGGCGCUUCACUUUUUAAUAAACCAGUGAUUCUUGAGAUAAGGGACAAAACAUGUCCAGCAGAUAAAACCCAAUUUUGUGGUUAAAAAUAUGCAUACAAGUGUUAACCCAACUGCCUAAAAGACAAACCAAGGCAAUGUUUAUACUACAAAACUAUGAUUUUUUAUAAAUAUAUAUUUAUUUUAAAUGGUACAAUACAUUACCAGUACCUUAAAAAUCCAUUGUCCUGAAGCAGGUGUGAUAAUAUUAAAAUACAGAAAAAAAAUUAAAAGUAAUGUAAAAUUAAACAUCAUGGCUCUCGUCACUAAGUAUUAAAGUCAAUACCUUAUAUCAAAAUAUGCAAUUGAAAAUUUAUUUUUACAUAUUUUUUAAGUGAUUAAAAUCGUGCGUCAAGUCGAUGUAAUCCAAGAUUUGAUUAUUUUUUCUUGUAAAAACAGCCUCAUUUAGGUAGAUUGUUGAGGCCAUAAGCAAAUGAUGAAAAACAAGAUGGCUUCUGUCAGAAAAACAUGUGUUAUGAGAGAAAGUAUGGUAUUUUGUCAACACCAUCAGAUGUCUGAUACAAAAGAAAGUGGAAACUAUCAGGACAACGUUUUGGCAUGCUUAUUUACAUCUGGAUAAUGACACAAACUAGUGUGUGGUGCUUCAGUUUUUAAUAAACUAAAAGACAGAAAUCAGAUUAUAGGAUCUGUGGUGUUUAUUUAUAUUAUGGUUCUUAUCAUUUGUGAUAUUUAUUACUCUGUGCAUACUUUAUUAGGAGAGAUGAGAUAUUAAAAAAAAGCUCUUCCUUGCUGGUUACAUUGAAGAAGAAGCUCAACUAUGUAGCACGUACGUAAUCAACUUCAACAACACAAUGUGAUGGGGAAAUCAGCUGUGUUUUUCUGCCCAUUUGAUUUCGAAUCUGGCACACACCAGAAAACCAGUUCCUGAAUCAGUCACGUGAUACGGACUGCCCGCGAGGCCUCGAGCGUCACUGCAUACGUAAUCAAAGUGUGCCUCGAUACGUGCUUCACAAAAACAACCUGAGAUUACCCGACACACGCUUUGGAGCUUCGACACACACGACACAUCGUUAGGCUUCAGUGAUCAAUUACUGUAAUAAUUAUCAUGUCAUGCAUGAUAAUUAUUACAGCAAAGCCUAAAAAGCAUCAAAUGUCUGAACUCAUGUCAGGUUUAAAUUGACUGACCCUGAUUUGUUGCACUGCUCAGCAGUGACAUCACAACUUAAUUGAAAUGCCACUGAGGUUAUUUUGCGUUUGACAUUCAACAAAACACCAGUGAAAACAGAAAACCACCAGAAUGUGGAGAACACAGACGUCAUGGGUUUGGUUGAGUUACAGACUGAUGAGUGGAGAAAGUAGGAAACAGCUUAUUCUUCUAUAUCUUACACAGAGUGCUGUAAAUCUGUUAAUACCACCAGUGACACAAAGUAAAGUUGUACAUGUACUUGAGUACUUAUAGAGUAUAAUUCAUACUGUAUGUUUGAAUCGUAUUGAUGUAUUUUUUUUUUGGUAGUUUUCUAUUUCUGCUCUACUGUAUUUUGAAUUCAAACAUUGUACUCCCUGACAUUUAUUUAAUUACUAUGUCAUGCUACAUUAUUAUAGAUAAAGUUACUCAGCAGUAUGUAAGCUGUUCUAACCAUCUAAAGCUGCAACAUUAAAAUAAAACCGACAUAAAUCAA